AGACAGUCAACCUUCAAAGCAAUCUGCAGUUGCAUGCAUGAGCUCAGGAAAUGACUAUGAACUAAUCACAGAUGGGGCACUGCAGCAGGGAGCUGACCCUGGGUGUGCCUGACGUGACCAAGUGAGCCCUCUAAAAGAAGGCACAGCAUCAGAGAGGCACCAUCCUGCUGGUCUCCAAGAAGAUAGAAGUCACCAUUAGUUCAACACCUGCAACAAACUGAACUCUGCCAGCAACUUGAAUGGACUUGGAGCUCUAAGCCUUAGAGGGGACCACAGCCUCUCCAAAUUUUUCAAUGCAGCUGGAGAGACUUGAGCAGAAAGUUUUCAGCUA
This is a long non-coding RNA of Choloepus didactylus (southern two-toed sloth), 331 nucleotides long. RefSeq lists it as uncharacterized. The record is from RefSeq and is a predicted model, not a curated record. NCBI's taxonomy places the organism in Eukaryota, Metazoa, Chordata, Mammalia, Pilosa, Megalonychidae. The transcript is spliced from 3 exons.